This 1234-nucleotide transfer RNA is filed under the name Numida meleagris (helmeted guineafowl). RNAcentral describes it as "lncRNA (ENSNMEG00000009764.1)". The stretch from base 209 to 280 matches the Rfam family "tRNA". Lineage: Eukaryota; Metazoa; Chordata; Aves; Galliformes; Numididae. The record is from RNAcentral.
GGGAUUGCUCGGGGGACGGUGGGGGCUGGAGGUUCCUGUGGGUCAGCUACCGGGGGGGAGAGGAGCCUCCGCGGGGGCGGCGGCGGCGGCUUUUGGGGGCUGCCCGGUAACGGGAAUGCCGCAGAACGGCCGUUGAGAAUUUGUGUCUGUGCGCAUGCGCGGGGUGGAGCGUAGGCUCUUGGAGGCAGGCGGAGGGUCGGUGUUCCGGGACCUCGUGGCGCAACGGUAGCGCGUCUGACUCCAGAUCAGAAGGCUGCGUGUUCGAAUCACGUCGGGGUCACGGUGUUCCCCCGCGGGGGGUUCAUUUUUUUUUUUUUUCCCCACUUCUGAGGAGUGUUGCUUUGUUCGGGGGUUACAUACGGAAGGAAAGAAGGAAACAAAGCCUGAGCUGGGGCACGGAUAAAGCUGCAAAGUGGUCCGUUUCCCCUUCGCUGUUGUGAUUUUAAUUAAGACAAAGAGGCGAGGUGGGGAAAUAAUUGUUUUUGGAAGCGUUAUCCACAGCAACGUGCUCCAUGGAACUCGUGUGCGAGGCACCCCUGGGGUGGCUGCAGGAUGGAUCCUGCUUCAGGGUUAGAAUGAGUGUGGGAUGUGCCUGCUCAGUAGUUAAAAAAGAAAGUGUGACCAAAAGGCUUUUCUUUGCAAGUAUUGUAAUGCAUGGUCAAUGUGGUGGUUUGGUUUUGGGGUUUUAUUUUUUUUUUUGCUCUGCUGUAGGGUUGAAGGGCUGCUAAUGAAUUCUGCAGAAUGCACUGCUUCCCUCGCCCUGCCCUGCUGUGAGCAGAGGGAACAUCUGCACUUCAGGGUGACUUUAUACCCUCCCUUUCCUGCCUGUCCAUGCAUUAAAGUGAGCAAGUAUCCAGCACUGCCCCUGCUUCCAUCUGAAACCUUCAGCCCAGGGGUCACAAUGCCAGCACCCCCUCUGCAUGAGCUCCCCCCGUGCGUUCACUCGUGCCAUUCCUACAGUGCAGCCUCUCUCCGUGACCUCCUGCGAUGCUUCGGAUGGUUUCGACUUCUGUUGGAACGUUUCCCCUUGGGAAGCUUUCUUUCCCCUUUGACUUCUGCAGCAGUUGCCGUGGGGAGCGACGAUGUCACAGUGGGGAGGGCUGUGGGGAAGGGUGGGCUCCAUGGACAGCACCCAGCGAGCAGGCUUCUACCUGGCCAUGUGAGCAGCCCUGCAGAUGGGAGAGAUGUCCGAGCCCACAUCCAACGUGCUGAUACGACGACUGAAGGAUGCUGA